This 659-nucleotide unclassified non-coding RNA is filed under the name Fomitopsis pinicola. Its description in RNAcentral is "sequence contains ITS1, 5.8S rRNA gene, ITS2". The stretch from base 253 to 406 matches the Rfam family "5.8S ribosomal RNA". The record is from RNAcentral. Lineage: Eukaryota; Fungi; Basidiomycota; Agaricomycetes; Polyporales; Fomitopsidaceae.
CUUCCGUAGGGUGAACCUGCGGAAGGAUCAUUAAUGAAUUCUGAAAGGGGUUGUAGCUGGCUGUUUCGUUUGAGCGGCAUGUGCACGCCCUGAUCAUUAUCCAUCUCACACACCUGUGCACAUACUGUAGGUCGGCUUUUGAUUGGAGUGGGGUCUUCAUCGACUCUGCUUUUUAGUUGGGGCCUUCCUAUGUUUUAUCACACACUACUUCAGUUAAAAGAAUGUCCUCUUGCGUCUAACGCAUUUAAAUACAACUUUCAGCAACGGAUCUCUUGGCUCUCGCAUCGAUGAAGAACGCAGCGAAAUGCGAUAAGUAAUGUGAAUUGCAGAAUUCAGUGAAUCAUCGAAUCUUUGAACGCACCUUGCGCUCCUUGGUAUUCCGAGGAGCAUGCCUGUUUGAGUGUCAUGGAAUUCUCAACUCUAUUUGCUUUUGUGAAUAGAGCUUGGACUUGGAGGUUUAUUGCCGGUACCUGUGAUCGGCUCCUCUUGAAUGCAUUAGCUCGAACCUUUUGUGGAUCAGCUUAUCGGUGUGAUAAAAUGUCUACGCCGUUACUGUGAAGCAUAUUAUUCGGCUUCCAAUCGUCCUUCACGGGACAAUAACUUUGACCUUUGACCUCAAAUCAGGUAGGAUUACCCGCUGAACUUAAGCAUAUCAAUAA